RNAcentral lists this unclassified non-coding RNA (206 nucleotides) under uncultured Sebacinales. RNAcentral's name for it is "sequence contains ITS2". The record is from RNAcentral. Lineage: Eukaryota; Fungi; Basidiomycota; Agaricomycetes; Sebacinales.
UACUCUCACACUCUCUAAUUUUCGGAUUGGAGAAGCGUGGACUUGGAUGCUGCUGCUUCGCUGUGGCUCAUCUUAAAUGCAUUAGUGCAACUUGUAGUUGGACAUAGUACAGCGUGAUAAGUGUCUUCGCUGGCGACCUUCCCUUAUGGAAAGGGUGUCUAAUUUAAAGCUCUGUGCUUCUAACUGUCCUUGGACAAUCUUUGACC